AACGAACGCUGGCGGCAUGCCUAACACAUGCAAGUCGAACGAGACCUUCGGGUCUAGUGGCGAACGGGUGCGUAACGCGUGGUAACCUGCCCUUAGGUUCGGAAUAACUCCCCGAAAGGGGUGCUAAUACCGGAUAAUGUCUUCGGACCAAAGAUUUAUCGCCUUUGGAUGGGCCCGCGUUGGCUUAGCUAGUUGGUAGGGUAAAAGCCUACCAAGGCGACGAUCCAUAGCUGGUCUGAGAGGAUGAUCAGCCACACUGGGACUGAGACACGGCCCAGACUACUACGGGAGGCAGCAGUGGGGAAUAUUGGACAAUGGGCGGAAGCCUGAUCCAGCAAUGCCGCGUGAGUGAUGAAGGCCUUAGGGUUGUAAAGCUCUUUUACCCGGGAUGAUAAUGACAGUACCGGGAGAAUAAGCUCCGGCUAACUCCGUG
Molecule: ribosomal RNA, 433 nt
Filed under: uncultured bacterium
Lineage: Bacteria
Description: partial 16S ribosomal RNA
Rfam family: Bacterial small subunit ribosomal RNA
Source: RNAcentral